RNAcentral lists this ribosomal RNA (537 nucleotides) under Callumbonella suturalis. RNAcentral describes it as "partial 16S ribosomal RNA". It matches the Rfam family "Bacterial large subunit ribosomal RNA", at positions 1859 to 2597 of the family's 2925-position model. Lineage: Eukaryota; Metazoa; Mollusca; Gastropoda; Trochida; Trochidae. The record is from RNAcentral.
CUGCCCGGUGACUUAGUUGUUAAACGGCCGCGGUACCCUAACCGUGCAAAGGUAGCAUAAUCAUUUGCCUUUUAAUUGGAGGCUGGUAUGAAUGGUUUGACGAGAGCUAUGCUGUCUCUUUUGGAAUAUUUAAAAAUUAACUUUUAGGUGAAGAGGCCUAAAUUUGUUUAAGGGACAAGAAGACCCUGUUGAGCUUUAGUGAAAUUGUAGAUGUAUUAUAUGGUGUAUUUGUGCACUGAUUUGUUAUGUAUUUAUUACAGUAAUAGGUUUAUAAUUAAUCUUUAGUUGGGGCGACUGAGGAACAUGAGAAGCUUCCUUGAUUAGAGAUAUUGGUACAGUUAUUGUUGUUCUUACAGUACGUUUAUGUUAUUUUGAUCCAAUUUGUUUGAUUAAGAGAAAAAGUUACCACAGGGAUAACAGCGUAAUCUUUCUGGAGAGAUCUAAUCGAAAGAAGGGUUUGCGACCUCGAUGUUGGACUAAGAUAUCCUAAGGGUGCAGAAGCUCUUGAAGGUUGGUCUGUUCGACCAUUAAAAUCUU